UAAAUUGAGAGUUUGAUCCUGGCUCAGGACGAACGCUGGCGGCGUGCCUAACACAUGCAAGUCGAGCGAUGAAGCCUUCGGGGUGGAUUAGCGGCGGACGGGUGAGUAACACGUGGGUAACCUGCCUCAUAGAGGGGGGAUAGCCUCCCGAAAGGCUGA
Molecule: non-coding RNA, 159 nt
Filed under: Clostridium sp. BL8
Lineage: Bacteria; Bacillati; Bacillota; Clostridia; Eubacteriales; Clostridiaceae
Description: Bacterial small subunit ribosomal RNA
Rfam family: Bacterial small subunit ribosomal RNA
Source: Rfam by way of RNAcentral